This 845-nucleotide ribosomal RNA is filed under the name uncultured Flavobacteriia bacterium. Its description in RNAcentral is "bacterial SSU rRNA". It matches the Rfam family "Bacterial small subunit ribosomal RNA", at positions 58 to 901 of the family's 1533-position model. Lineage: Bacteria; Pseudomonadati; Bacteroidota; Flavobacteriia. The record is from RNAcentral.
CAAGUCGAGGGGCAGCACAGGUAGCAAUACUGGGUGGCGACCGGCAAACGGGUGCGGAACACGUACGCAACCUUCCUUUAAGUGGGAGAUAGCCCAGGGAAACUUGGAUUAAUAUCCCGUAAUAUUAUUGAGUGGCAUCACUUGAUAAUUAAAGCUCCGGCGCUUAAAGAUGGGCGUGCGCCUGAUUAGGUAGUUGGCGGAGUAACAGCCCACCAAGCCUACGAUCAGUAACUGGUGUGAGAGCACGACCAGUCACACGGGCACUGAGACACGGGCCCGACUCCUACGGGAGGCAGCAGUAAGGAAUAUUGGUCAAUGGACGCAAGUCUGAACCAGCCAUGCCGCGUGGAGGAUGACGGCCCUCUGGGUUGUAAACUCCUUUUAUCUGGGAAGAAAUGCAUUUUUUCUAAAGUGUUUGACGGUACCAGAGGAAUAAGCACCGGCUAACUCCGUGCCAGCAGCCGCGGUAAUACGGAGGGUGCAAGCGUUAUCCGGAUUCACUGGGUUUAAAGGGUGCGUAGGUGGAAUGGUAAGUCAGUGGUGAAAUCUCCAAGCUUAACUUGGAAACUGCCGUUGAUACUAUCAUUCUUGAAUAUCGUGGAGGUGAGCGGAAUAUGUCAUGUAGCGGUGAAAUGCUUAGAUAUGACAUAGAACACCGAUUGCGAAGGCAGCUCACUACACGAUCAUUGACACUGAGGCACGAAAGCGUGGGGAUCAAACAGGAUUAGAUACCCUGGUAGUCCACGCCCUAAACGAUGGAUACUCGACAUCAGCGAUACACUGUUGGUGUCUGAGCGAAAGCAUUAAGUAUCCCACCUGGGAAGUACGAUCGCAAGAUUGAAACU